RNAcentral lists this ribosomal RNA (298 nucleotides) under uncultured bacterium. RNAcentral's name for it is "partial 16S ribosomal RNA". It matches the Rfam family "Bacterial small subunit ribosomal RNA", at positions 44 to 334 of the family's 1533-position model. The record is from RNAcentral.
GUGCUUAACACAUGCAAGUCGAGUGCACAGUUCCUGUAGCAAUACAGGAACGGGUGCACGGCGCACGGGUGCGUAACACGUGGGCAAUCUGCCCUCCGAUGGGGAAUAACCCCGCGAAAGCGGGGCUAAUUCCGCAUAACAUUCCCUGGACUGCGGUCCGGGGACUCAAAGCCGUAAGGCGUCGGAGGAGGAGCCCGCGCCCGAUUAGCUAGUUGGUAGGGUAACGGCCUACCAAGGCAAUGAUCGGUAGCUGGUCUGAGAGGAUGGCCAGCCACACUGGAACUGAGACACGGUCCAG